This 473-nucleotide unclassified non-coding RNA is filed under the name Zea mays. RNAcentral's name for it is "misc RNA Zm00001eb415560". The record is from RNAcentral. Lineage: Eukaryota; Viridiplantae; Streptophyta; Magnoliopsida; Poales; Poaceae.
CUCCGCGCACGGGCGACUCCUUCCCAUCUAUGCCGACGCAUCCAUGGCAGCCGUCGCGCCCGCGCCAGAUAUUUCUUCCCAUUUGUGCAGCCGCGCCCGCAAAUCUCGCCUCCCCACGACGCCCUUCCAUCCAUGGCGUCUCGACAUCCUCCGCUCCGCUCCUAGCCCACAACAUCUUUCUUCCCAUCCUCUCCCUCAAAGAUCUCGUCCACUUGGUCUCGCGGCUGCCUUCCCCAACAGCGUCUGCUCAAGGGCUCCGGGCGCUGUCCUCGGGAGAGUACCGCGUCUGCGGGGUGCUCAGCAGCAGGGAGCUCCACUGCUGGCGUUGGCGCGGCCUCAACAUCUCCAGGGACCUCCGGUUCGCCGUCGCCGCCGUGGGGGACAGCUUCGUGUGCGGGAUCCUCAAAGGGACGCCGGCGUCCAUCCGUUGCUCCGGGAACGACACGGCGGCAGCCGCUGUCGCCGGAUUCCAC